This 857-nucleotide ribosomal RNA is filed under the name uncultured bacterium. Its description in RNAcentral is "bacterial SSU rRNA". It matches the Rfam family "Bacterial small subunit ribosomal RNA", at positions 8 to 854 of the family's 1533-position model. The record is from RNAcentral.
AGAGUUUGAUCCUGGCUCAGAACAAACGCUGGCGGCGUGUCUUAAGCAUGCAAGUUGAGCGGCAAGGCGGGGCGACCCGCCCUAGAGCGGCGGACUGGUGAGUAACGCGUGGGUAAUCUGCCUUGGGCCUGGGGAUAGCCACUAGAAAUAGUGGGUAAUACCGAAUACGUUCCACGAGGGGAGAGCUUGUGGAAGAAAGGGUGCUACGGCACUGGCCCAAGAUGAGCUCGCGUCCCAUUAGCUAGUUGGUGAGGUAAUGGCCCACCAAGGCGAUGAUGGGUAGCCGGCCUGAGAGGGUGUACGGCCACACUGGGACUGAGAUACGGCCCAGACUCCUACGGGAGGCAGCAGCUAAGAAUAUUCCGCAAUGGACGGAAGUCUGACGGAGCGACGCCGCGUGGAUGAUGAAGGCCGAAAGGUUGUAAAGUUCUUUUGCUGGGGAAGAAUAAGCCUAGGAGGGAAUGCCUAGGUGAUGACAUGAACCGGCGAAUAAGCCCCGGCCAACUACGUGCCAGCAGCCGCGGUAACACGUAGGGGGCGAGCGUUGUUCGGAAUUACUGGGCGUAAAGGGCAUGUAGGCGGUCUGGUAAGCCUGGCGUGAAAGACUGCAGCUUAACUGCAGGGGUGCGCUGGGAACUGCUGGGCUUGAGUGACGGAGAGGGAGCUGGAAUUCCUGGUGUAGGGGUGAAAUCUGUAGAUAUCAGGAAGAACACCGAUGGCGAAGGCAAGCUCCUGGCCGAUGACUGACGCUGAGGUGCGAAAGUGUGGGGAUCAAACGGGAUUAGAUACCCUGGUAGUCCACACAGUCAACGAUGUGCACUAAGUGGCUGGGGCGGUAGCCUCGGUGGCCGGAGCGA